UACAGAGGGUGCAAGCGUUAAUCGGAAUUACUGGGCGUAAAGCGCGCGUAGGCGGCUUUGCAAGUCGGGUGUGAAAUCCCCAGGCUUAACCUGGGAACUGCAUUCGAGACUGCAUUGCUAGAGUAUGGGAGAGGGAAGUGGAAUUUCCGGUGUAGCGGUGAAAUGCGUAGAUAUCGGAAGGAACAUCAGUGGCGAAAGCGACUUCCUGGACCAAUACUGACGCUCAUGUGCGAAAGCGUGGGGAGCAAACAGG
This 253-nucleotide ribosomal RNA is filed under the name uncultured bacterium. RNAcentral describes it as "partial 16S ribosomal RNA". It matches the Rfam family "Bacterial small subunit ribosomal RNA", at positions 524 to 776 of the family's 1533-position model. The record is from RNAcentral.